GGCAGUCAUGCAAAGCAUGGGACAGAAGAAAUACCACGGCAGUGAACUGUGAGGAUAACUUCCAUUUUUUCCCUCGGAGAGAACAGUUUACGGGGCAGAGGUGAUAUGUUCUGCCUUUUGAAGAUUACUGGCACACGUUCAGCUUUUUCACCUCUCUAAUCGACUGGAAGCAGCCAGCCGAUCACUAGUCCUCCAUCCCCCUCGAGUCCUCC
Molecule: long non-coding RNA, 212 nt
Filed under: Homo sapiens (human)
Lineage: Eukaryota; Metazoa; Chordata; Mammalia; Primates; Hominidae
Description: lncAB268.1
Source: RNAcentral